RNAcentral lists this ribosomal RNA (192 nucleotides) under Glomus sp. (unid). Lineage: Eukaryota; Fungi; Glomeromycota; Glomeromycetes; Glomerales; Glomeraceae. The record is from RNAcentral.
CAGUCGUACCGGCGGAUAAUCAGCCUUUCGGGUGCGAUUCUGUGGGGCGUGAAGAGUUUAACCGCCCUCAUGUUUUGCAUAUUCGUGCACAUUUGGUGUACUUGUCCGUGUGGUGGGUUAACAUCAAUUUCGGGCACCAUAAAAUGGCUGGAGGAAUGUAGCUUCGAUCUUGUAUUGAAGUGUUAUAGCCUU